This 492-nucleotide ribosomal RNA is filed under the name uncultured bacterium. Its description in RNAcentral is "partial 16S ribosomal RNA". It matches the Rfam family "Bacterial small subunit ribosomal RNA", at positions 29 to 507 of the family's 1533-position model. The record is from RNAcentral.
AGUGAACGCUGGCGGUAGGCCUAACACAUGCAAGUCGAACGGCAGCACAGUAAGAGCUUGCUCUUACGGGUGGCGAGUGGCGGACGGGUGAGGAAUACAUCGGAAUCUACUUUUUCGUGGGGGAUAACGUAGGGAAACUUACGCUAAUACCGCAUACGACCUACGGGUGAAAGCAGGGGAUCUUCGGACCUUGCGCGAUUGAAUGAGCCGAUGUCGGAUUAGCUAGUUGGCGGGGUAAAGGCCCACCAAGGCGACGAUCCGUAGCUGGUCUGAGAGGAUGAUCAGCCACACUGGAACUGAGACACGGUCCAGACUCCUACGGGAGGCAGCUGUGGGGAAUAUUGGACAAUGGGCGCAAGCCUGAUCCAGCCAUACCGCGUGGGUGAAGAAGGCCUUCGGGUUGUAAAGCCCUUUUGUUGGGAAAGAAAAGCAGCGGGUUAAUACCCCGCUGUUCUGACGGUACCCAAAGAAUAAGCACCGGCUAACUUCGUG